UACGUAGGGUGCGAGCGUUGUCCGGAAUUAUUGGGCGUAAAGAGCUCGUAGGCGGCUUGUCGCGUCGGAUGUGAAAGCCCGGGGCUUAACUCCGGGUCUGCAUUCGAUACGGGCAGGCUAGAGUUCGGUAGGGGAGAUCGGAAUUCCUGGUGUAGCGGUGAAAUGCGCAGAUAUCAGGAGGAACACCGGUGGCGAAGGCGGAUCUCUGGGCCGGUACUGACGCUGAGGAGCGAAAGCGUGGGGAGCGAACAGG
This 253-nucleotide ribosomal RNA is filed under the name uncultured bacterium. RNAcentral describes it as "partial 16S ribosomal RNA". It matches the Rfam family "Bacterial small subunit ribosomal RNA", at positions 524 to 776 of the family's 1533-position model. The record is from RNAcentral.